This is a long non-coding RNA of Topomyia yanbarensis, 621 nucleotides long. RefSeq lists it as uncharacterized. The transcript has 5 exons. Lineage: Eukaryota; Metazoa; Arthropoda; Insecta; Diptera; Culicidae. The record is from RefSeq and is a predicted model, not a curated record.
UAUUACUCGACAAAGACACACGAGGUUUUUGUGGUGCGCUAUAGUGAUAUAGUGAUGUAGUAAUAUAGUGAGUGAUCGAAGCUGGGAAUUUACUGCCUUGCUGUUGGAAAUAUGGCACAAAUAAGCGAGGAGGAUAUGUGGAAAAAACUACAAGAUCUUCACGACAUUGUGUUGGGUAGAAAGGAAAUCGACUUUCAAGAGGCGGAUGCAGGACCAAGCACUAAGGACGAUGGCAAGGACAACGAUGAUGACAAAGAAAAGAAGGGCAAUGAGAACAAAAAACCAAAGAAUAAGAAAUAGAAUCUACACAAAACGUCAGGAAAAUUGUCAAGGAACUAAUAAAACUAAUAUAAACUUCCAGAAAAUCUCAAUGUUCAAGGUCCAGAAAGUGCAGCGGAUGUGCGCUACACUCAUGCGUCGGGCUGAUGAUGCACUAUCGUAUAUCGACAAGCAAAAUAUUCCUCCAUUUGUAUGCCGCCAGCUGAAACAGAACAUCAGCACGCAGGUUGACACCGUCACCGUAGAAAUUAACAAAAAAAAUAAUCUAAAGCUAUUGAUACUAAUAUAAACAGAAACAAUAAUAAUUGGCCUCAACUUAGCCGUUUUGGCGGUAAUAGUCAA